RNAcentral lists this ribosomal RNA (508 nucleotides) under uncultured bacterium. Its description in RNAcentral is "bacterial SSU rRNA". It matches the Rfam family "Bacterial small subunit ribosomal RNA", at positions 28 to 527 of the family's 1533-position model. The record is from RNAcentral.
GACGAACGCUGGCGGCGUGGAUUAGGCAUGCAAGUCGAACGGUAUCAUCCUUUCGGGGGUGAGAGAGUGGCGAACUGGUGAGUAACACGUAGGUUAUCUACCCUCAAGACGGGGACAACCCAGGGAAACUUGGGCUAAUACCGGAUGUGAGCAACUUUUAGUUGUUUGAAAGGUGGCGUAAGCUGUCGCUUGGGGAUGAGCCUGCGUCCUAUUAGUUAGUUGGUGAGGUAACGGCUCACCUAGGCAAUGAUAGGUAGGCGGCCUUAACGGGUGGUCGCCCACACUGGGAUUGAGAUACGGCCCAGACUCCUACGGGAGGCAGCAGUCGAGAAUAGUCUACAAUGGUCGGAAGACUGAUAGUGCGACGCCGCGUGAACGAUGAAUCCCUUCGGGGUUAAAGUUCUUUUAUAUGUGAGCAGUGCUUCUAUAUUAACAGUAUGGGGAAGAGAUAUUAGCAUAUGAAUAAAGCAACGGCUAAACUCCGUGCCAAGCAGCCGCGGUAAUCUCG